CUGGGAGCAGUCACCAUCCGGACCAUGCUGCACUGAGGAUUCCUGCUGUGUUCACUAACUGGAAUGCCCAUAUCAGUCCAUUCACUAUGUCAGGCUGGUCUUGCUGAAGCCAGUGGCUACCUUCUGACAAAAUGGUUUGUGAGCUGGGGACCCUUGUCUUCUCAACAGUGUACCUCGAGUGCCGACAGCCCAGGACAUGUCAUGCUCUUAAACAUGUUUCCUGAUUUUGUGUCUGUGUGGUUGUCUGCAAUGUAUGUGCAGGCACCUGCAGAGACCAGAGUGAUGCUGGAUCGCCCGGCUCGAAUACCUGAGCAGUGGCUGCUUUACCCAGUGACAUCUUCCCAGGCCCCUAAGGGACAGAUUUGGAGUACUGGCUGGGGUGAUACGAAGCUCCUCCAACACUAUGUUUACCUGGACUCUGCCAUGCUUCCCACCAUGAUGCUAAUGGAUUAAACCUCUGAAACUGCAUCUCCUUCCCACACUGCGAUCUGAGUGUUUCAUAUACGCUCUCCUUUCCUGCCUGCUCCCUCUGUCACAUCUGUGUUUCUAACAGUGGACUAUAUCAGUGCCCAAGACUUCACGCCACAUUUGGGAGAUGACUAACCCCAGAAAAGGAAAGGACUGGGAACAAGAGAAGAAUGCUGCAGACAUCAAGGAUAUGGGAGCAUAGACAAGAAAGGAAGAGAGAAAAGCUAAAUCCCUGCAAGUAUGAGGGGAAGACAGCACAAGUCAAAGCUGGCCAUGGACUCUGUCUCUGGCGUGUCAUUGCCCUUGAUUCCACCACCUUACUAAGAAAACAAGGCCCAAGGGCUGAGGUUGCAGAGCAGUGGCAGAGCAUUUGCCUUUCAAGCAUGAGACCCGAGCUUCAGUCCCCAGCACUGCCGUCCCUUCCCCUAAAUGAGGUCCAAUUGUCAUUCAUCUGCAGUGGUGGAAAGUUCUGGAUCUUAAUCAGUGGUGACCAUGCUUCAGCCUCUGGCCAAGCCAGGACCUUCAGCCUCUGGAAGACCUGGACUCUAAGCACCUGAUUUUAUGAGAAGUUAUCUAGAAGGUGUGGAAAAACUCCCCUCAGGUCUUUUGGAAGCUGCUCUCAGCUGUUCUCCUAGCUUACCUCUAUUUCUCUCUGCCACCCACCAACCUAAGAAGCACUCCCUAGGCAACCCACAGCCACACUUUCCUAUGAUCCAGAGAGGGUAACAGACGCCAAGGGAUGAAACUCUCACUCAACAAAGACCAGACCAGACCAGAAAUCAGCAUCUACAGGCACCUCAAUCACGUUAAGCCCCAAUGCCUACACACCAGUGCAAAAACCACAAUGAUUACUACUCUAGGCAAUAUGCCUCCACCUGAACCCAGGAACCCUACCCUACUAUAGUAAGCCAUAAGAAAGGCAACAUAGCUACGAGAUAAGGAUUUCAAAAUAGCAAUUACGAAUACAGUUAAGGACCCUAAAACUGAUAAGAACGAGUCCUUAAUGAGGCCUCUGAAAACACAAAUGAACAGUGGAAGGAAAUAAUGAGAAUGGUUCAAGGCCUGGAGGUGAAACAGAAUCAUAAAGACAACCCAACUGAGGUAAAACUAGAAAUGAAAAAAAUGUAGGAAGUCAGACAAAAAUAUCAGAGAAAGCCUUUCCAACAGAGCACAAGACAUGGAUGAGAAAAUCUUGGGUGUUGAAGACAAGGUAGAAGAAAUGGAUAAUUCAGUUAAAAAAAAAAAGUGUUAAAUCUAAAAACAUUCAGGCACAAAACAUCCAGGAAAUCUGGGACACUAUGAAAAGAUUAAAUCUACGAAUAACAGAAAGGAGAAUAAACCCAGGCCAAAGGCACAGAAACUGUUUUCAAUAAAAUCAUAAAAGGAAAGCUUCCCAACCUAAAGGAGGUACUUAUCAAAGUACAAGAAGCAUACAGAGCAACCAAUACACCAGAAACGAAAAUCUCCACAAUAGUCAAAACACUAAACAUACGCAACAAGAUGAGAACAUUAAAAGUAUUCUCAGUGGAGACUCUGAAAGCCAGAAUGGCCUAAAAGAUGUUCUACAAAUUCUAGGAGAUGAGAGAUGCCAAUCCAGACUAAACUUUCUAUCUAUAUAUCUACAGAACUCUAUACCCAGCAAAACUGUCAAUCACAACAGAUGGAGAAAGAAAAAUAUUCCACAACAAAACCAAAUUCAAGCAGAAUCUACCUAUGAAUCCAGCUCUACAGAAGGUACUUCAGCCUGAAAAGGCUGACCACAUCCAAGAAACACAAGGAAUAAAUAAUACCAGAACACUGAGUCACAAGGGAGGAUGGGAUUCAAACUUUAACAACAGAAGAACUACCAAUAAAAACUGCUUGUUGUUCAUUCUCAAGAAGAGUUUCAAAUCCCCCAAUAAAAAGACACAGACUAACAUACUGGAUUAGAAAACAGGAUCCAUCUUUGUACUGCACCCAAGAAACACACCUUACUAUCAGUAUAGACAUCACCUCAAGGUAAAAGGAUGGAAAAAGAUAUUCCAAGCAAAUAGAUCCCAAAAGGAAGAGAUUGUAGCCAUUUUAAUAUCUGACAAAAUAGACUUCAAACCAAAACAAAUCAGAAGAGUCAUGGAAGGACACUAAAUACUCAUCAAAGGAAAAAUCCACCCAGAGGACACUGCAACUCUACAUAUCCAUGCACCAAGCACAAGUGCACCCAAGUUCAUAAAAGAAAUGCUAAAACAGCUAAAAUCACAUACUGAACCUCACACAUUGGUGGUGGGAGACCUCAGUACCCAACUCUCGCCAAUAGAUAGGUCAUCCAGACAAAAACUAAACAGAGAAAUACUGGAGUUGACAAUGUUACAAACCAGUAAUAUAACAGAUACUUACAGAACAAUUCAUUAAACAUAAAUGCAUAUACCUUCUCUGUACCUCAUGAGACUUUCUCCAAAGUUGACCACAUGCUGAGAUGCAAAGCAAAUCUCAACAGAUACAAGAAAACUGAAAUAAGCCCCCUGCAUCCUAUCUGACCACCAUGGAUUAAAGCUGGAUAUCAUCAACAACAGAAACAAUAGAAAGUUUACAAACUCAUGGAAACAGAACAACUUCCUACUGAGUGAAAAAUGAAACAAGUUAGAAAUCAAGAAGGAAAUUAAAAACUUUUCAGAAUUGAAUGAAACUGAACACACAACAUACACACACCUGUGAGACACAAUGAAGAUGGUUAUGAGGUAAGCUUGUGGCACUAAGUGCCUACGUGAAAAAUUUGGAGAGAUUUUUCUCAUAUUUGUAACUUAGCAACAACCUGAAAACUCUAGCAUAACAAAAAGAAAUAACACCCCACAAAAAGUGGACAGCAAGAAACAAAUUCAGGGCUGAAAUCAAUGAGAUAGAAACAAACAAAAAUACAAAGUUUCAAUGAAACUAUGAUUUGAAAAAAAAAAAAACAUUAAGAGGGCUGGAGAGAUGGCUCAGCAGUUAAGAGCACUGACUGCUCUUCCAGAGGUCCUGAGUUCAAUUCCCAGUAACCACAUGGUGGCUCACAACCAUUUGUAAUGAGAUCUGAUGCCUUCUUCUGGUGUGUCUGAAGACAGCUACAGUAUACUUACAUAUAAUAAAUAAAUAAAUCUUUAAAAAAUCAUUAAGAUUGAUAAACCCCUAGCCAACAAGAUGGCUGCAUGUAGAAGAAUCCAAAUAGAUCCAUACUUAUCAUCCUGCACAAAACUCAACUCCAAAUGGAUCAAGGACCCCCAACAAAAGGCCAGAUACACUGAAUCCGAUUAAAGAAAGUGGGAAUAGUCUUGAACUCAUUAGCACAGGAAAACAGCAAUUAACAUGGGACCUCAUGAAACUGAGAUGCUUCUGUAUGGUAACAGACACCAACAUUGGGACAAAGGGGCAGCCCACAGAAUAGAAAAGAUUUUUAUCAACUACUACCCAUCUUGUAGAUGGCUGAUAUCAAAAGCAUAUAAAGAACUGAAACAACUGGAUAUCAAGAAAACAACCCAAUUAAAAAUGGGGUACAUGGGGGCUGGCGAGAUGGCUCAGUGGUUAAGAGUGCCGACUGCUCUUCCGAAGGUCCCGAGUUCAAAUCCCAGCAACCACAUGGUGGCUCACAACCAUCCGUAAUGAAAUCUGAUGCCCUCUUCUGGAGUGUCUGAGGACAGCUACAGUGUAUUUACAUAUAAUAAAUAAAUAAAUCUUUAAAAAAAAAUGUGAGGCCUUUGGCUCAAUCCCUAGCACAAAAGGAAGAAGAAACUUAAAGUAAAAGAAAUGCUAAAGCAUACUUUUAAAAAAAAUGGGGUACAUAACUAAGUAGAGAGUUCCCAAAAGAUGAAAUACAAAUGGCUGAGAAAUGCUUUUCAAAAAUAUUCAACAUCCCUUUUCAACAGGGGAAUGCAAGUCAAAACUAAUUUGAGAUUUUAUCUUACCCCAGUCAUAAUUGCCAAGUUCAGUAAAGCAAAUGAGAGCUCAUGCUGGUGAACAUGUGGGGAAGGGGAACAUUUAUGCAUUGCUAGUGGGAGUACAGACUUGUACAACCACUAUAGAAAUCAGUGUGGCAGUUUGUCUAGAAGCUAGAAAUAGAUCUACUCCCAAGAUCCAGCUACCCACUCUUGGGCACACACCCAAAGACCCCGCGUCUGAUUACAGAGACACUGGCUCAUUCACCUUCAUUGCUGCUCUCACUCAUGAAA
Long non-coding RNA from Mus musculus (house mouse), 4646 nucleotides. RefSeq annotates it as predicted gene 17202. The transcript has 8 exons. Lineage: Eukaryota; Metazoa; Chordata; Mammalia; Rodentia; Muridae. The record is from RefSeq and is a predicted model, not a curated record.